ACUAAAUAGAUACCCCGGUAGUCCCAGCCCUAAACGAUGCAUACUUGGUGUAGCUAGGCUCAAACCCUGGCUGUGCCGGAGCUAACGCGUUAAGUAUGCCGCCUGGGGAGUACAGUCGCAAGGCUGAAACUCAAAAGAAAUUGACGGGGGCCCGGCACAAGCAGUGGAGCAUGUGGUUUAAUUCGAUGCAACGCGAAGAACCUUACCCAGGCUUGAACUGUAGGAGACCGCCUCAGAGAUGAGGCUUCCCGCAAGGGCUGCUACAGAGGUGCUGCAUGGCUGUCGUCAGCUCGUGCCGUGAGGUGUUGGGUUAAGUCCCGCAACGAGCGCAACCCUUAUCACUAGUUGCCAGCGCGUAAAGGCGGGGACUCUAGUGAGACUG
This 382-nucleotide ribosomal RNA is filed under the name uncultured bacterium. RNAcentral describes it as "bacterial SSU rRNA". It matches the Rfam family "Bacterial small subunit ribosomal RNA", at positions 772 to 1151 of the family's 1533-position model. The record is from RNAcentral.